GAUGAAGAACGUAGCGAAAUGCGAUACGUAGUGUGAAUUGCAGAAUCCAGUGAAUCAUCGAAUCUUUGAACGCACAUUGCGCCCGCCGGCAUCCCGGCGGGCAUGCCUGUUCGAGCGUCAUUUCAACCAUCAAGCCCCAGGCUUGCGUUGGAGCCCUGCGGCUGCCGCAGCCUCCUAAAAGCAGUGGCGGGCUCGCUAUCACACCGAGUGCAGUAGAUUACUCUUCGCUCAGGGCGUGCAGCGGGUUCCGGCCGUGAAACCCCCUACUUUUAAAGGUUGACCUCGGAUCAGGUAGGAAUACCCGCUGAACUUAAGCAUAUCAAUAAGCGGAGGA
RNAcentral lists this unclassified non-coding RNA (334 nucleotides) under soil metagenome. RNAcentral's name for it is "partial contains 5.8S ribosomal RNA, internal transcribed spacer 2, and large subunit ribosomal RNA". The stretch from base 1 to 120 matches the Rfam family "5.8S ribosomal RNA", at positions 35 to 154 of the family's 154-position model. The record is from RNAcentral.